AGUAACGCGUAGGUAACCUGCCUUGUAGCGGGGGAUAACUAUUGGAAACGAUAGCUAAUACCGCAUAACAAUGGAUGACACAUGUCAUUUAUUUGAAAGGGGCAAUUGCUCCACUACAAGAUGGACCUGCGUUGUAUUAGCUAGUAGGUGAGGUAACGGCUCACCUAGGCGACGAUACAUAGCCGACCUGAGAGGGUGAUCGGCCACACUGGGACUGAGACACGGCCCAGACUCCUACGGGAGGCAGCAUG
This 251-nucleotide ribosomal RNA is filed under the name uncultured bacterium. Its description in RNAcentral is "partial 16S ribosomal RNA". It matches the Rfam family "Bacterial small subunit ribosomal RNA", at positions 109 to 353 of the family's 1533-position model. The record is from RNAcentral.